GAGUUUGAUCUUGGCUCAGAUUGAACGCUAGCGGGAUGCCUUACACAUGCAAGUCGAACGGCAGCACGGACUUCGGUCUGGUUGGCGAGUGGCGAACGGGUGAGUAAUGUAUCGGAACGUGCCUAGUAGCGGGGGGAUAACUACGCGGAAGCGUAGCUAAUACCGCAUACGCCCUACGGGGAAAGCAGGGGAUCGCAAGACCUUGCACUAUUAGAGCGGCCGAUAUCGGAUUAGCUAGUUGGUGGGGUAACGGCUCACCAAGGCGACGAUCCGUAGCUGGUUUGAGAGGACGACCAGCCACACUGGGACUGAGACACGGCCCAGACUCCUACGGGAGGCAGCAGUGGGAAUUUUGGACAAUGGGGAAACCCUGAUCCAGCCAUCCCGCGUGUGCGAUGAAGGCCUUCGGUU
RNAcentral lists this ribosomal RNA (411 nucleotides) under uncultured microorganism. RNAcentral describes it as "bacterial SSU rRNA". It matches the Rfam family "Bacterial small subunit ribosomal RNA", at positions 9 to 423 of the family's 1533-position model. The record is from RNAcentral.